UUAGUCCUACGGGGGGCAGCAGUGGGGAAUAUUGCACAAUGGGGGAAACCCUGAUGCAGCAACGCCGCGUGAGUGAAGAAGUAGUUCGGUAUGUAAAUCUCUAUCAGCAGGGAAGAAGAAAGACGGUACCUGACUAAGAAGCCCCGGCUAACUACGUGCCAGCAGCCGCGGUAAUACGUAGGGGGCAAGCGUUAUCCGGAUUUACUGGGUGUAAAGGGAGCGUAGACGGCGAUGCAAGUCUGAAGUGAAAGGCGGGGGCCCAACCCCCGGACUGCUUUGGAAACUGUAU
This 289-nucleotide ribosomal RNA is filed under the name uncultured bacterium. RNAcentral describes it as "partial 16S ribosomal RNA". It matches the Rfam family "Bacterial small subunit ribosomal RNA", at positions 333 to 638 of the family's 1533-position model. The record is from RNAcentral.